This 140-nucleotide small nuclear RNA is filed under the name Dasypus novemcinctus (nine-banded armadillo). RNAcentral's name for it is "U4 spliceosomal RNA (ENSDNOG00000028395.1)". It matches the Rfam family "U4 spliceosomal RNA". Rfam says of the family: U4 small nuclear RNA (U4 snRNA) is a component of the major U2-dependent spliceosome. Lineage: Eukaryota; Metazoa; Chordata; Mammalia; Cingulata; Dasypodidae. The record is from RNAcentral.
AGCUUUGCACAGUGGCAAUGUUGUAGCCAAUGAGGUCCAUCCGAGGCACGGUUUUUGCUAAUUGAAAACUUUCCCAAUACCCGACCAUGACGACAUGAAAUACAGUAGGCAGUGGCAAGUUUUGAAGGUCUCUGUGGAGA